GACGUAGGGGGCGAGCGUUAUCCGGAUUUAUUGGGCGUAAAGCGCGCGCAGGCGGCCGUGCAAGUCGGAUGUGAAAACACGAGGCUCAACCUCGUGCCUGCAUUCGAUACUGCUCGGCUAGAGGCAGGUAGGGGAGAUCGGAAUUCCCGGUGUAGCGGUGAAAUGCGCAGAUAUCGGGAGGAACACCUAUGGCGAAGGCAGCUCGCUGGGACGUUACUGACGCUGAGACGCGAAAGCGUGGGGAGCAAACAGG
This 253-nucleotide ribosomal RNA is filed under the name uncultured bacterium. RNAcentral describes it as "partial 16S ribosomal RNA". It matches the Rfam family "Bacterial small subunit ribosomal RNA", at positions 524 to 776 of the family's 1533-position model. The record is from RNAcentral.